UGUAGUCAUAUGCUUGUCUCAAAGAUUAAGCCAUGCAUGUCUAAGUAUAAGCAAUUAUACCGCGAAACUGCGAAUGGCUCAUUAAAUCAGUUAUCGUUUAUUUGAUAGUACCUUACUACAUGGAUAACCGUGGUAAUUCUAGAGCUAAUACAUGCUAAAAAUCCCGACUUCGGAAGGGAUGUAUUUAUUAGAUUAAAAACCAAUGCCCUUCGGGGCUCUCUGGUGAUUCAUAAUAACUUCUCGAAUCGCACGGCCUUGCGCCGGCGAUGGUUCAUUCAAAUUUCUGCCCUAUCAACUUUCGACGGCUGGGUCUUGGCCAGCCGUGGUGACAACGGGUAACGGAGGGUUAGGGCUCGACCCCGGAGAAGGAGCCUGAGAAACGGCUACUACAUCCAAGGAAGGCAGCAGGCGCGCAAAUUACCCAAUCCCGACACGGGGAGGUAGUGACAAUAAAUACUGAUACAGGGCUCUUUCGGGUCUUGUAAUUGGAAUGAGUACAAUUUAAAUCCCUUAACGAGGAACAAUUGGAGGGCAAGUCUGGUGCCAGCAGCCGCGGUAAUUCCAGCUCCAAUAGCGUAUAUUAAAGUUGUUGAGGUUAAAAAGCUCGUAGUUGAACCUUGGGCCUAGCCGGCCGGUCCGCCUCACCGCGUGCACUGGCUCGGCUGGGUCUUUCCUUCUGGAGAACCGCAUGCCCUUCACUGGGUGUGCUGGGGAACCAGGACUUUUACUCUGAAUAAAUUAGAUCGCUUAAAGAAGGCCUAUGCUCGAAUACAUUAGCAUGGAAUAAUAGAAUAGGACGUGUGGUUCUAUUUUGUUGGUUUCUAGGACCGCCGUAAUGAUUAAUAGGGACAGUCGGGGGCAUCAGUAUUCAAUUGUCAGAGGUGAA
This 886-nucleotide ribosomal RNA is filed under the name uncultured Chaetomium. RNAcentral's name for it is "SSU rRNA". It matches the Rfam family "Eukaryotic small subunit ribosomal RNA", at positions 19 to 915 of the family's 1831-position model. The record is from RNAcentral. Lineage: Eukaryota; Fungi; Ascomycota; Sordariomycetes; Sordariales; Chaetomiaceae.